RNAcentral lists this ribosomal RNA (425 nucleotides) under uncultured bacterium. RNAcentral describes it as "partial 16S ribosomal RNA". It matches the Rfam family "Bacterial small subunit ribosomal RNA", at positions 354 to 796 of the family's 1533-position model. The record is from RNAcentral.
GUGGGGAAUCUUGCGCAAUGGGCGAAAGCCUGACGCAGCCAUGCCGCGUGGAUGAUGAAGGUCUUAGGAUUGUAAAAUCCUUUCACCGGUGAAGAUAAUGACUGUAGCCGGAGAAGAAGCCCCGGCUAACUUCGUGCCAGCAGCCGCGGUAAUACGAAGGGGGCUAGCGUUGCUCGGAUUUACUGGGCGUAAAGGGCGCGUAGGCGGACAGCUUAGUCAGAGGUGAAAGCCCAGGGCUCAACCUUGGAAUUGCCUUUGAUACUGGCUGUCUUGAGUUUGGGAGAGGUGAGUGGAACUCCGAGUGUAGAGGUGAAAUUCGUAGAUAUUCGGAAGAACACCAGUGGCGAAGGCGACUCACUGGCCCAAUACUGACGCUGAGGCGCGAAAGCGUGGGGAGCAAACAGGAUUAGAUACCCCUGUAGUCC